AUUGAACGCUGGCGGCAGGCCUAACACAUGCAAGUCGAGCGGGGUUUUCGGACCUAGCGGCGGACGGGUGAGCAAUGCGUAGGAAGCUACCCGAUAGAGGGGGAUACCAGUUGGAAACGACUGUUAAUACCGCAUAAUGUCUACGGACCAAAGUGUGGGCCCUUCGGGCCACAUGCUAUCGGAUGCGCCUACGUGGGAUUAGCUAGUUGGUGAGGUAAUGGCUCACCAAGGCGACGAUCUCUAGCUGGUUUGAGAGGAUGAUCAGCCACACUGGAACUGAGACACGGUCCAGACGCCUACGGGAGGCAGCAGUGGGGAAUAUUGGACAAUGGGCGCAAGCCUGAUCCAGCCAUGCCGCGUGUGUGAAGAAGGCCUUCGGGUUGUAAAGCACUUUCAGUAGGGAGGAAGGGUUAAGUGUUAAUAGUACUUAACUUUGACGUUACCUACAGAAGAAGCACCGGCUAACUCUGUGCCAGCCGCCGCUGUAA
Molecule: ribosomal RNA, 488 nt
Filed under: uncultured bacterium
Lineage: Bacteria
Description: partial 16S ribosomal RNA
Rfam family: Bacterial small subunit ribosomal RNA
Source: RNAcentral